This 517-nucleotide long non-coding RNA is filed under the name Heterocephalus glaber (naked mole-rat). RNAcentral's name for it is "lncRNA (ENSHGLG00100043583.1)". The record is from RNAcentral. Lineage: Eukaryota; Metazoa; Chordata; Mammalia; Rodentia; Bathyergidae.
GUCAAUUGGAUUAGCUUCGGAAUCUGUCCUAGGAAUUGGUAAAGCACACUUCUGGGUAUGUCUGGGUGGAUUAUAAGGUGUGGCCUUGGGAUCGAUAGCUUAUCCCUGGCACCUUCCUCUCUAGCACUGUUUUCCUGCUCUGCUUCCCAGCUGCCAUGAACUGAGGAGCCUGGCCAUGGAUUGCAUCCCCCAAAGCUACCCAGUUGGAGGGUCCCUGCCCAUGCGGAACACGCUGAUCCAGCCUAUGCCCCAGCAGCAAUCCACUGGAUCAUCCCCCCCACCCCCCACUCCUCUGGCCUCUUGGCUGUACUGACAUCUGAUUCCACACUACAAAGACACAGAGGACACUGGACCACCAGACCACUGUACUGGGGUCACCACAUUGCCCAGACUGGGCCCAAGCUUGCCAUUCUCCUGCCUCAGCCUCCCAGAUUGCUGUGAUUACAGGGUCUCUGCCUGCCCUGAGCAGCCACUGCCCACUCCUCAUCCUAGAUUCCACUUCCUCUUUGGAGCCAGC